GGCGGUAGGCGGGCUGAUUAAGUACAGCGGUGAAAGGUAAGCAGCUUAACUGUUUUACUAUGCCGUUGAUACUGGUUAGCUUGAGUUGACAGAAGGCAGAUAGAAUUCCUGGUGUAGCGGUGAAAUGCUUAGAUACCAGGAGGAAUACCGAUUGCGAAGGCAGUCUGCUGCAGUCACACUGACGCUGAGGCUCGAAGGUGCGGGGAUCAAACAGGAUUAGAUACCCCGGU
This 230-nucleotide ribosomal RNA is filed under the name uncultured bacterium. RNAcentral describes it as "partial 16S ribosomal RNA". It matches the Rfam family "Bacterial small subunit ribosomal RNA", at positions 568 to 791 of the family's 1533-position model. The record is from RNAcentral.